UGUAGCUCAGUGGUAGAGCAAUUGCCUAGUAUGCACAUAUCCCUGGAUUCAAUCUCCAGCA
This 61-nucleotide transfer RNA is filed under the name Heterocephalus glaber (naked mole-rat). It matches the Rfam family "tRNA", at positions 6 to 65 of the family's 71-position model. From Rfam's summary of the family: Transfer RNA (tRNA) molecules are approximately 80 nucleotides in length. Their secondary structure includes four short double-helical elements and three loops (D, anti-codon, and T loops). Lineage: Eukaryota; Metazoa; Chordata; Mammalia; Rodentia; Bathyergidae. The record is from Rfam by way of RNAcentral.